This 200-nucleotide long non-coding RNA is filed under the name Manihot esculenta (cassava). Its description in RNAcentral is "long non-coding RNA (MESC_LNC004680)". Lineage: Eukaryota; Viridiplantae; Streptophyta; Magnoliopsida; Malpighiales; Euphorbiaceae. The record is from RNAcentral.
UGCUUUCAUCUGCUUGUGUCUUUGAGUUUUUAUUUAUCUUUUUCCGAGCUGGAUCAGUCGUAACCCUGAGCUCUGCUUUUAACCUAUGAGCCAAGCUUCCGACCUACUUAGGUAAUGAACAAGGCUGGUCUCUAUCAUCGGGUGAGAGGUCCAAGUGGAGCCCGGUCUUAUGGUUUGAGCGAGUUGGAUUUGUUCUAUGC